AUUGAACGCUGGCGGCAGGCCUAACACAUGCAAGUCGAGCGGAUGAAGGGAGCUUGCUCCUGGAUUCAGCGGCGGACGGGUGAGUAAUGCCUAGGAAUCUGCCUGGUAGUGGGGGAUAACGUCCGGAAACGGGCGCUAAUACCGCAUACGUCCUGAGGGAGAAAGUGGGGGAUCUUCGGACCUCACGCUAUCAGAUGAGCCUAGGUCGGAUUAGCUAGUUGGUGGGGUAAAGGCCUACCAAGGCGACGAUCCGUAACUGGUCUGAGAGGAUGAUCAGUCACACUGGAACUGAGACACGGUCCAGACUCCUACGGGGGGCAGCAGUGGGGAAUAUUGGACAAUGGGCGAAAGCCUGAUCCAGCCAUGGCGCGGGGGUGAAGAAGGUCUUCGGAUUGGAAAGCACUUUAAGUUGGGAGGAAGGGCAGUAAGUUAAUACCUUGCUGUUUUGACGGUACCAACAGAAUAAGCACCGGCUAACUUCGUG
Molecule: ribosomal RNA, 484 nt
Filed under: uncultured bacterium
Lineage: Bacteria
Description: partial 16S ribosomal RNA
Rfam family: Bacterial small subunit ribosomal RNA
Source: RNAcentral